CCUACGGGAGGCAGCAGUGAGGAAUAUUGGUCAAUGGGCGCGAGCCUGAACCAGCCACGUAGCGUGAAGGAUGACUGCCCUACGGGUUGUAAACUUCUUUUAUAAAGGAAUAAAGUGAGGCUCGUGUGCCUUUUUGUAUGUACUUUAUGAAUACGGAUCGGCUAACUCCGUGCCAGCAGCCGCGGUAAUACGGAGGGUCCGAGCGUUAUCCGGAUUUAUUGGGUUUAAAGGGAGCGUAGAUGGUUUGUUAAGUCAGUUGUGAAAGUUUGCGGCUCAACCGUAAAAUUGCAAUUGAUACUGGCAGCCUUGAGUACAGUUGAGGUAGGCGGAAUUCGUGGUGUAGCGGUGAAAUGCUUAGAUAUAACGAAGAACUCCGAUGGCGAAGGCAGCUUACUAAACUGCCACUGACAUUGAUGCUCGAAAGUGUGGGUAUCAAACAGGAUUAGAUACCCUGGUAGUC
RNAcentral lists this ribosomal RNA (460 nucleotides) under uncultured bacterium. RNAcentral's name for it is "partial 16S ribosomal RNA". It matches the Rfam family "Bacterial small subunit ribosomal RNA", at positions 338 to 795 of the family's 1533-position model. The record is from RNAcentral.